AUGUUCCAAAAUGGUGAAAGUCACACUGAUGCAGCUGCAGACGUUAUCAAACUCCAUCCUUCUUGCUAUCAUUUUGUAGAACCAUUGUCUUUUUACUCAUUUCAGUCACUACUACUGUACCUAUAAAGCGGUGGAAAUAAAUCACCCUUCAACACUACAGUAGCUGCACCGAGUUCAUCUGUCUGCUGAGCUUAAGAAGGGGACUCUUUUGCGAGGGCAGAAUAAGCUUCUACCCCCAAGCCAUUACACUGCUGAACAAUUAAUCAAAUGGCGACCCAGACUAUUUACACUGCUGCUACUUGCUGUUAGCAUAUAGCCUCGCUAUUGUGAUUUUGUGUUACUUUUUUUUACUCUACUUUAUUUAGUAAAUAUUUAUUUCACUCUUAUUUUCUUAAAACAACAUUGUUGGUUAAGGGCUGGUAAAUAAGCAUUUCACGGUAAGGAUUUAAACACCUGUUGUAUUCGGCGCAUGUGACAAAUACAAUUUGAAUUGAUUGGGCAGUAAGGUACAAAGAGAAUUACAAACAUACGACUGAAA
Molecule: long non-coding RNA, 538 nt
Organism: Salvelinus fontinalis (brook trout)
Lineage: Eukaryota; Metazoa; Chordata; Actinopteri; Salmoniformes; Salmonidae
Exons: 2
Source: RefSeq, a predicted model, not a curated record